GAUGAACGCUGGCGGCGUGCCUAAUACAUGCAAGUCGAGCGAACGGACGAGAAGCUUGCUUCUCUGAUGUUAGCGGCGGACGGGUGAGUAACGCGUGGAUAACCUACCUAUAAGACUGGGAUAACUUCGGGAAACCGGAGCUAAUACCGGAUAAUAUUUUGAACCGCAUGGUUCAAAAGUGAAAGACGGUCUUGCUGUCACUUAUAGAUGGAUCCGCGCUGCAUUAGCUAGUUGGUAAGGUAACGGCUUACCAAGGCAACGAUGCAUAGCCGACCUGAGAGGGUGAUCGGCCACACUGGAACUGAGACACGGUCCAGACUCCUACGGGAGGCAGCAGUAGGGAAUCUUCCGCAAUGGGCGAAAGCCUGACGGAGCAACGCCGCGUGAGUGAUGAAGGUCUUCGGAUCGUAAAACUCUGUUAUUAGGGAAGAACAUAUGUGUAAGUAACUGUGCACAUCUUGACGGUACCUAAUCAGAAAGCCACGGCUAACUACGUGCCAGCAGCCGCGGUAAUACGUAGGUGGCAAGCGUUAUCCGGAAUUAUUGGGCGUAAAGCGCGCGUAGGCGGUUUUUUAAGUCUGAUGUGAAAGCCCACGGCUCAACCGUGGAGGGUCAUUGGAAACUGGAAAACUUGAGUGCAGAAGAGGAAAGUGGAAUUCCAUGUGUAGCGGUGAAAUGCGCAGAGAUAUGGAGGAACACCAGUGGCGAAGGCGACUUUCUGGUCUGUAACUGACGCUGAUGUGCGAAAGCGUGGGGAUCAAACAGGAUUAGAUACCCUGGUAGUCCACGCCGUAAACGAUGAGUGCUAAGUGUUAGGGGGUUUCCGCCCCUUAGUGCUGCAGCUAACGCAUUAAGCACUCCGCCUGGGGAGUACGACCGCAAGGUUGAAACUCAAAGGAAUUGACGGGGACCCGCACAAGCGGUGGAGCAUGUGGUUUAAUUCGAAGCAACGCGAAGAACCUUACCAAAUCUUGACAUCCUUUGACAACUCUAGAGAUAGAGCCUUCCCCUUCGGGGGACAAAGUGACAGGUGGUGCAUGGUUGUCGUCAGCUCGUGUCGUGAGAUGUUGGGUUAAGUCCCGCAACGAGCGCAACCCUUAAGCUUAGUUGCCAUCAUUAAGUUGGGCACUCUAAGUUGACUGCCGGUGACAAACCGGAGGAAGGUGGGGAUGACGUCAAAUCAUCAUGCCCCUUAUGAUUUGGGCUACACACGUGCUGCAAUGGACAAUACAAAGGGCAGCGAAACCGCGAGGUCAAGCAAAUCCCAUAAAGUUGUUCUCAGUUCGGAUUGUAGUCUGCAACUCGACUACAUGAAGCUGGAAUCGCUAGUAAUCGUAGAUCAGCAUGCUACGGUGAAUACGUUCCCGGGUCU
Molecule: ribosomal RNA, 1372 nt
Filed under: uncultured bacterium
Lineage: Bacteria
Description: bacterial SSU rRNA
Rfam family: Bacterial small subunit ribosomal RNA
Source: RNAcentral